UCGACGCCGUCUGCCUGGCAUUUACAGGUUCGCUUGAAGCAUCGGGCGACGGUUCAGGAGAAGGCUCUGGUGACGGAUCCGGUGACGGCUUGGAAGAAUGGAUCUACGACUUUGGUCCUAUAGUCGAGAUCUUCACACCCGACUGGGCUUCCCAGCAACUCCUUAGUGCAUUCGCAGAGAGAGCGUGCCGAGCUGCCGAAGAUAUAGGAUAUGUUGACCAUGUUGACUUGGAAUCGUUCUGUCGAAACAAUCGACGCCCCAUCGACGGGGGCGAUGCCGAUGAAGAAGAUGGCAGCGGAGAUACUGGUAGUGGUUCUGGCGAAGGAGAUGAUAUCGACAACGAGGAUGAUGAUGAUGAUGGCGAUAAUCAGGCCUUUGUUUGGAGCUCUGACUGGCUUCAAAAUGAUGUCUUUUAUUUUGCGAACGAUGCACAAUAUUAAGAACUGGAAUACCAGUUCCUGAAAACGAACACUGUUGAAAUAUUUUAUUUUGUCCCUUCGUAAUUUUUCUUAAUUUCCAUUUGUAGAUUCCCCAUUAAAAGGGCAAUUUUCCCUCCACAUGUUUGAAUUUAAUCUUACUCGCGGUCCGAA
Long non-coding RNA from Lytechinus variegatus (green sea urchin), 590 nucleotides. RefSeq lists it as uncharacterized. The record is from RefSeq and is a predicted model, not a curated record. The transcript is spliced from 2 exons. NCBI's taxonomy places the organism in Eukaryota, Metazoa, Echinodermata, Echinoidea, Temnopleuroida, Toxopneustidae.